RNAcentral lists this ribosomal RNA (2909 nucleotides) under Escherichia coli BL21(DE3). RNAcentral's name for it is "bacterial LSU rRNA". It matches the Rfam family "Bacterial large subunit ribosomal RNA". The record is from RNAcentral. Lineage: Bacteria; Pseudomonadati; Pseudomonadota; Gammaproteobacteria; Enterobacterales; Enterobacteriaceae.
GGUUAAGCGACUAAGCGUACACGGUGGAUGCCCUGGCAGUCAGAGGCGAUGAAGGACGUGCUAAUCUGCGAUAAGCGUCGGUAAGGUGAUAUGAACCGUUAUAACCGGCGAUUUCCGAAUGGGGAAACCCAGUGUGUUUCGACACACUAUCAUUAACUGAAUCCAUAGGUUAAUGAGGCGAACCGGGGGAACUGAAACAUCUAAGUACCCCGAGGAAAAGAAAUCAACCGAGAUUCCCCCAGUAGCGGCGAGCGAACGGGGAGCAGCCCAGAGCCUGAAUCAGUGUGUGUGUUAGUGGAAGCGUCUGGAAAGGCGCGCGAUACAGGGUGACAGCCCCGUACACAAAAAUGCACAUGCUGUGAGCUCGAUGAGUAGGGCGGGACACGUGGUAUCCUGUCUGAAUAUGGGGGGACCAUCCUCCAAGGCUAAAUACUCCUGACUGACCGAUAGUGAACCAGUACCGUGAGGGAAAGGCGAAAAGAACCCCGGCGAGGGGAGUGAAAAAGAACCUGAAACCGUGUACGUACAAGCAGUGGGAGCACAGAGCAAUCUGUGUGACUGCGUACCUUUUGUAUAAUGGGUCAGCGACUUAUAUUCUGUAGCAAGGUUAACCGAAUAGGGGAGCCGAAGGGAAACCGAGUCUUAACUGGGCGUUAAGUUGCAGGGUAUAGACCCGAAACCCGGUGAUCUAGCCAUGGGCAGGUUGAAGGUUGGGUAACACUAACUGGAGGACCGAACCGACUAAUGUUGAAAAAUUAGCGGAUGACUUGUGGCUGGGGGUGAAAGGCCAAUCAAACCGGGAGAUAGCUGGUUCUCCCCGAAAGCUAUUUAGGUAGCGCCUCGUGAAUUCAUCUCCGGGGGUAGAGCACUGUUUCGGCAAGGGGGUCAUCCCGACUUACCAACCCGAUGCAAACUGCGAAUACCGGAGAAUGUUAUCACGGGAGACACACGGCGGGUGCUAACGUCCGUCGUGAAGAGGGAAACAACCCAGACCGCCAGCUAAGGUCCCAAAGUCAUGGUUAAGUGGGAAACGAUGUGGGAAGGCCCAGACAGCCAGGAUGUUGGCUUAGAAGCAGCCAUCAUUUAAAGAAAGCGUAAUAGCUCACUGGUCGAGUCGGCCUGCGCGGAAGAUGUAACGGGGCUAAACCAUGCACCGAAGCUGCGGCAGCGACGCUUAUGCGUUGUUGGGUAGGGGAGCGUUCUGUAAGCCUGUGAAGGUGUGCUGUGAGGCAUGCUGGAGGUAUCAGAAGUGCGAAUGCUGACAUAAGUAACGAUAAAGCGGGUGAAAAGCCCGCUCGCCGGAAGACCAAGGGUUCCUGUCCAACGUUAAUCGGGGCAGGGUGAGUCGACCCCUAAGGCGAGGCCGAAAGGCGUAGUCGAUGGGAAACAGGUUAAUAUUCCUGUACUUGGUGUUACUGCGAAGGGGGGACGGAGAAGGCUAUGUUGGCCGGGCGACGGUUGUCCCGGUUUAAGCGUGUAGGCUGGUUUUCCAGGCAAAUCCGGAAAAUCAAGGCUGAGGCGUGAUGACGAGGCACUACGGUGCUGAAGCAACAAAUGCCCUGCUUCCAGGAAAAGCCUCUAAGCAUCAGGUAACAUCAAAUCGUACCCCAAACCGACACAGGUGGUCAGGUAGAGAAUACCAAGGCGCUUGAGAGAACUCGGGUGAAGGAACUAGGCAAAAUGGUGCCGUAACUUCGGGAGAAGGCACGCUGAUAUGUAGGUGAGGUCCCUCGCGGAUGGAGCUGAAAUCAGUCGAAGAUACCAGCUGGCUGCAACUGUUUAUUAAAAACACAGCACUGUGCAAACACGAAAGUGGACGUAUACGGUGUGACGCCUGCCCGGUGCCGGAAGGUUAAUUGAUGGGGUUAGCGGUAACGCGAAGCUCUUGAUCGAAGCCCCGGUAAACGGCGGCCGUAACUAUAACGGUCCUAAGGUAGCGAAAUUCCUUGUCGGGUAAGUUCCGACCUGCACGAAUGGCGUAAUGAUGGCCAGGCUGUCUCCACCCGAGACUCAGUGAAAUUGAACUCGCUGUGAAGAUGCAGUGUACCCGCGGCAAGACGGAAAGACCCCGUGAACCUUUACUAUAGCUUGACACUGAACAUUGAGCCUUGAUGUGUAGGAUAGGUGGGAGGCUUUGAAGUGUGGACGCCAGUCUGCAUGGAGCCGGCCUUGAAAUACCACCCUUUAAUGUUUGAUGUUCUAACGUUGGCCCCUGAUCGGGGUUGCGGACAGUGUCUGGUGGGUAGUUUGACUGGGGCGGUCUCCUCCUAAAGAGUAACGGAGGAGCACGAAGGUUGGCUAAUCCUGGUCGGACAUCAGGAGGUUAGUGCAAUGGCAUAAGCCAGCUUGACUGCGAGCGUGACGGCGCGAGCAGGUGCGAAAGCAGGUCAUAGUGAUCCGGUGGUUCUGAAUGGAAGGGCCAUCGCUCAACGGAUAAAAGGUACUCCGGGGAUAACAGGCUGAUACCGCCCAAGAGUUCAUAUCGACGGCGGUGUUUGGCACCUCGAUGUCGGCUCAUCACAUCCUGGGGCUGAAGUAGGUCCCAAGGGUAUGGCUGUUCGCCAUUUAAAGUGGUACGCGAGCUGGGUUUAGAACGUCGUGAGACAGUUCGGUCCCUAUCUGCCGUGGGCGCUGGAGAACUGAGGGGGGCUGCUCCUAGUACGAGAGGACCGGAGUGGACGCAUCACUGGUGUUCGGGUUGUCAUGCCAAUGGCACUGCCCGGUAGCUAAAUGCGGAAGAGAUAAGUGCUGAAAGCAUCUAAGCACGAAACUUGCCCCGAGAUGAGUUCUCCCUGACUCCUUGAGAGUCCUGAAGGAACGUUGAAGACGACGACGUUGAUAGGCCGGGUGUGUAAGCGCAGCGAUGCGUUGAGCUAACCGGUACUAAUGAACCGUGAGGCUUAACCUUA